Molecule: microRNA precursor, 52 nt
Organism: Gadus morhua (Atlantic cod)
Lineage: Eukaryota; Metazoa; Chordata; Actinopteri; Gadiformes; Gadidae
Source: Ensembl
AUCAAGAGUGGUUCUGGCCAGUUUUUUAAACAUGGCGACCCAUCCUUGGUUU